This 116-nucleotide non-coding RNA is filed under the name Rhizobium sp. Leaf371. Its description in RNAcentral is "Rhizobiales sRNA Atu_C9". It matches the Rfam family "Rhizobiales sRNA Atu_C9", at positions 1 to 118 of the family's 192-position model. Lineage: Bacteria; Pseudomonadati; Pseudomonadota; Alphaproteobacteria; Hyphomicrobiales; Rhizobiaceae. The record is from Rfam by way of RNAcentral.
CGUUAACGCUUGGAGGGUUGAAUGGGAAUCGCACGGUCCGUGAAUGUUCUCAUGAUAGGUGCCUCGUUCGCAUUCGUUGCGAUGAUGCUCUUCAUCUAGGAGGAGAUGAAAACCUG